This 258-nucleotide ribosomal RNA is filed under the name uncultured Staphylococcus sp. Its description in RNAcentral is "partial 16S ribosomal RNA". It matches the Rfam family "Bacterial small subunit ribosomal RNA", at positions 103 to 355 of the family's 1533-position model. Lineage: Bacteria; Bacillati; Bacillota; Bacilli; Caryophanales; Staphylococcaceae. The record is from RNAcentral.
CGGGUGAGUAACACGUGGAUAACCUACCUAUAAGACUGGGAUAACUUCGGGAAACCGGAGCUAAUACCGGAUAAUAUUUUGAACCGCAUGGUUCAAAAGUGAAAGACGGUCUUGCUGUCACUUAUAGAUGGAUCCGCGCUGCAUUAGCUAGUUGGUAAGGUAACGGCUUACCAAGGCAACGAUGCAUAGCCGACCUGAGAGGGUGAUCGGCCACACUGGAACUGAGACACGGUCCAGACUCCUAGGGAGGCAGCAGUC